Molecule: small nucleolar RNA, 67 nt
Filed under: Myotis lucifugus (little brown bat)
Lineage: Eukaryota; Metazoa; Chordata; Mammalia; Chiroptera; Vespertilionidae
Description: Small nucleolar RNA SNORD112 (ENSMLUG00000021942.2)
Source: RNAcentral
UGGAUCAAUGAUGAAAGGGUGUCAUGAACCAAAGGUCACGAAUAAUCCAAUUUCAAAGAGAUUCUAC